This 37642-nucleotide long non-coding RNA is filed under the name Sorghum bicolor (sorghum). Its description in RNAcentral is "long non-coding RNA (SBIC_LNC003797)". The record is from RNAcentral. Lineage: Eukaryota; Viridiplantae; Streptophyta; Magnoliopsida; Poales; Poaceae.
GGGACUGAAAACUCUGACCAGGCGAGGGACUUCGGCCUCCCCUUGAAGGAUCGAUUCUACCUGCAGCCGCUGCCACCGGCGGAGGCGGCGGCGAGGGUGAAGACGUCGGCGCAGGACAUCAUCAACCUGAAGCCGCUCAUCGACAAGAAGGCGUGGCCGUACGUCCAGAACGACCUCCGCCUCAGGGCCUCCUACCUGCGCUAUGACCUCAAGACCGUCAUCGCUUCAAAGCCCAAGGAGGAGAAGAAGAGCCUCAAGGAGCUCACCGGCAAGCUCUUCAGCACCAUCGACGAUGUAAGUUGAAUCCUAUUGAUCAUUGAUCUAUCUGGAAGCAAUUCAAUUUCCUUCCCCUCAACCUUUGACAAGAAUUGUUGGAAAAUGACACGUGAGCUUCUCUUCCCGUUUUGGCAGCUUGACCAUGCCGCGAAGAUCAAGAGCACCCCAGAGGCCGAGAAAUACUUUGCAGCAACCAAAGAUGUGCUCGGCGAUGUUCUCGCCAAGAUAGGCUAGACGGAAGGGCUAAUAAUGGCCAUUUAAUUUCGAACUUGUGUUUGUUCAUAUGGAGCCGGCAAUGUACCAUUUUCUGUUGAUAUUGUAUCAGAAAGCACUUAACUAUGAUGCUAUCCUGAGUUCUUGAGACAAGUACUGUUGCGAGCUGAUGCAACAAUCAGAAACAGGUACCAACAACCUUAAUCCGUGAUGAGGUCAUCAAACACAUGCCUCCUGAUAAAGCCCCUAGUCCAGAUUCCUUCAAUGGGCUUUUUCUGAUAAAAUGUUAGGACACUAUAUAAGAAGAGAUAUGCACUCUGCGCUUUGAUUUCUUCAAUGGCAGUUUGAGUCUGGAAGCCAUCAACAAUUCACUCGUCAUACUGGUCCCUAGAGUGGACAAUCCUACAAGUGUCAGUGACUUCAGACCAAUUUCUCUUCUAAAUGGUGUCAUCAAAAUGUCACGAAUUAAGCUCGAGGCUAAUCUGCUACUAGCUAAAAUAAUACCAUUGAUUGAUACCAACCAGUACGAUUUUAUAAAAUUGGACUUUUACAAAAGCUGUUGAUACAAUUGAACACAAUACAAUCUUGCCGGUGAUGAAGAGCUUGGGGUUUCCUGAUGUUUGGACGAACUGGAUUGAGAGUAUUCUGGCUUCUGGAUCCUCCUCGGUCCUUCUAAAUCGUGUGCCAGGCAACCACUUCCAUUGCCGUCGUGGGGUCAGACUAGGUGAUCACUUGUCACCACUUCUUUUUGUGCUUGUUGUGGACCUCCUACGAUGCAUUGUCAACAAAGCUUAUCAUCAGAGCCUGUUCGAGCUGCCUAUUCCAUCUUUUGAGUUGGACCAGUUCCCCACUGUCCAAUAUGCUGACGACACUAUCCUUCUCGCAAUCGGUAGGGCUGGGAGUCAAUUAUAAGAAGUCUUGCCCUGUUCCUUUAAACCUCCAUAUGAAAAAGCUCAACUCCCUGUUUGUGUCUUCAGCUGCAAAUUAGAAUCUUUGCCUUUCACUUAACUUGGGUUGUCUCUGAGCACAACAAAACUUCGGGUUGAACUCUUCGGUUCCAUUAUGACUAAAGUUGAGAGGAGGCGCAUGGCAACUUCCACCUUCCUGACCCAUGUAGGAAGGUUUCAGCUAGUUAACUCAGUUCUCUCUUUCUUUGGAGGGGUUCCGGUUGUGGUCAUUGAAAUUAGCAAAGCAAGAUGUCACUAUUGGAGAGGUUGUGAUUCUAAUGGAAAGAUGAAACCUUUCCUGGCUUGGAUUAAAUGUUCAAAGCAAAAAAGAAAAGGUGGGUAGCAAUCUUAGGAGUCAAAACAAGGCCCUUCUUUUGAAGCAUCUGCACAAAUUUUAUAAUAAGAAGGAUACCUCAUGGGUGAAGUUGAUCUAGAAUGCCCAUUAUUCUCAUGACAAGGUGCCCAUGCCUCAACUAAUAGGGGCUGGUGGAAGGAUGUCCAGAAAUUAUGUAACAUGUUUAGAGGAUUUGUGAAGUGCAAUAUUGGGGAUGGUUCCACGGUGCUUUUCUGGUAUGAUCUUUGGAAUGGCAACAUUCUGGAAUCCAAAUACCAAGACUCUACUCUUUUGCCAGAAAUAAGAACAUCUUUAUUGCUAAGUUUAUGUUCAUCCGCCCUUAUCAGAGCAGGCCUUCCAAGAAUUCCAAUCCAAGACUUAAUUCAAGCUCUGCAUGUUUAUCAGAUUUCAAAGGAUUCCUGGGAAUACAUCUGGGGAAGCAAGAAUUACUCUUCCUCGAAGUGUUACAACUUUCCUUACAAGAAUAUAAAAACCUCAACCCUUUUUCUCUGGAUUUGGAACUCCAAAUGCUGUAACAAGCCAAGAGUCUUUUCAUGGCUUCUCCUGAUAGAUAAACUGAAUACAAGAAACAUUCUGAGAAGGAAAAAGGCAAAAGCUUCAAGGAAACAACUACAAUUGUGCUAUCUGCAGCAACAACAUUAGUCUGCAUUUCAUUUGUUUUUUAGCUGCCCCUAGCCAAACCUGUCGGUAACAUCUUGGAAUAAGUUGGGACUUCACAAUGGAUUUCUUCCAAACGAUGCAGCAAGCUAAGAUCCAACAUAACUACCCCUUCUUUAUGGAGACGUUCAUCAUUGCCAGCUGAAAAUUUUGGAAACAAAGAAACAAUUUUAUCUUUGAUAGAGGCCGGCCAUCCUUUGGAUCUUGGAAAAGCUCUUUCUAUGAAGAAGUUAGAUUGCAGUCUCGUAGGUUCAACGCUGUCAAACAUUCUGUCUUUCUUUCUUGUAUAGCUUGGCCUAGAUUAGCUCUGCGGCCCAAAUUGGGCUUGCUUUCUUGGGUCUCCUUUUGUACAGUGUUUUUGUUUUAUAUCUGUUAAUUAAAGCAUACAGUGGUAUUUUCCAAUCAAAGAAAAAAAACAACCUUAAUUCGUGAUCCACGUACAUCAAAAGGCAAAGGCGUCAAAUUGGAAGUUCGUCAUCUGAGGUAAAAUUGGUCAUGAACAGGCAAGCGUGACAUAGUUAUCCGACACCAAAAAGAACACCAGAUCACUCGAGGCCACAAACUAAACUAGUGAUGAAAUUCAUUUUGGCAUUUUGCUAAUCUUCAAGCAACAUAGGAAUGGAACAGAAAUGAGCUAGGAUGUCGUCAGACCUCUAGCCAAAUUAGCAUUGAUCGUGUAUUCAUGUCAAGCAUUAUUAUUUUGGCAAUUCAGUUAGGCUGCAGAUAAUAUAUAGAUUCUACAAGAUAAACUACCCCACAAUUCAGGCUCUUGAGUUUUUAAUAAUUGUACAAAAUUUCCACCAAAUAAGAAGUGCUUACAACAGCAAGGAUACGCUGGCUUAACAUACGCUACUGCUCCCGAAAAAGGGGUAUAGUCAGUGCACAAGAAACUUUCCCCAGUUUAUAUCAUGUAGUAAGCCUUCCAUUAUUUGCCCAGGGACAUCCAAUGAUUUGCUGACUCCUAUGAUCUGCAAGAAAAGCAAGUUAAGUACAUUCAACUUCGGGCUACAAAAGAAUUACCACAAGCAUAUAGGAGGCUUGAACUUUUUUUUUAAUAUAUGGAUAACUACAACCAGGCCUGCAGCAAAACUAAAAUCAAAGUAAAUAGUAAUCAGCAGAAACAGUCGUUGUGAAGACACAUUAUUUACUAUCACAGAUGAAAGGCUUCAAAUAUCAAGGGGAAAAACAAUGCUGCAGUAGUGAAGGAACAUCCUAUCUGGAUCAACAAUCAAACUGAACACAGUAAAAAAAAUAUAAUAUAAACCAAAUGGACUUAACUUCAUAAUUAUGGUUAGUCCUCCAAGAACAUCCAUAUGAUUAAAAUGCACCAGGAGUUAAACCGGGUUUAGGGCUGUCAUCUAGAUAGUUAAAGUAUUAAUUUGCAUAUCUGGGAACCUAAAUUUGCUAAGGGCUUCAUUCGAGAUCACAUCUCUAGUUAGCGUUGAUCAGCCUACUUGGCAUCCAAACAUCUCCCACUCCAUGUUAGCAUGCCACAUUAAUGAUAUUUGGACAUCGAGUGACAUUAAUAACAGUUUAGGGAACCAUAUUUGGUAGCAUGACAAUCAUUGCUACACUUUACUCAAUCCAUUAUCUAAGGUACUGAACAAGUGAACAGACAGGCAAGCUUUCAAGAAACUAAGUGAUCAUAAUUUCAGAGAAAAAAGAUCCAGAAUCAUAUUUACCAUUCAAGACAGGCACAUAGGUUUAGGCUCAGACUUUAGCAGCAGCAUCAGAUACCUCUUCCUUUGUAUCUGUGACUUCACUCGUUUGGUCAUCACCAGCACUACUUGCUUCUAGCUGCCUUUGCUUUGCCAAAGCUCGUCUUGCUUCCCUACGAAAGUCCCUCUUGGCAGCACGAACCUCGUCAAAGCCCUCUUUAAUCUUAGCCUCUUCCUCAGGAGGGAAGAAGCCUACUUCCAUUUCGGCCAAAUCUGAAUACAUCUUUUCGAUCUUUGCUUUCCACACUAUCCCCAUCUCAGUAUCCAUUUUAUUGUAAGGUGUCUUCAGGAGGUAUUCAUCUAUCCCACCAGCUUUGUCAAUGCACCGAAGUGCAUGUGUGGUAACCUUGACUCUAAUGUGCCGGUCAUGAAUAUAGCUGAAAAGACGCUUCUCCUGAACAUUUGGCUUCCAUGAUCGCCUUGAUCUAAAUAAGCAAAAGAUAAUCCAAUAAGAUGCUUAUAAAAACAAUAUCAUAGCCUCAGAUUUGCAAGGUAUAAAUAAAUUCCGUCACUACCAACAAAUUUUUAGUGAAUGUUAUUGUCGUGGAAAUUUAACUAUAAGGGAAUCAUUUUAAUGUCAUACUGCAGAAGUUCAUAUUCCACCUAAGAUUUAAGAAUCUGCCACUUUAAAUAGAUAGGCAACAAUGCAGGUCUUAACAUUAUCUCUAUUAAGAGAUGGAAGUGUAGAGGCCAGAAUAAUCCCCAGAUAUAUCUAGUGUAGAAUGGGCCCACAGACCCAACCCUAUGUGCUUCAGUGAUUGGGUCAACGAACCAGCUGAGUACCGAUACGGAUUUAAUAUAUCCUAUCAAGACAUAUUCCUCCAAAAAACUACAAGUGAACACAGAAGGCAACAGAUACAAAUGGGUCAUAUUAUUUAUUUAUUUAUACAUGAUGAAAAGCAGAUGAAAAAUAAUGCUGCACUGGAUGUUUGGGUGUGUUGUAACUCUCUUCUUUUAAUGCAAUGAAUGUUGCACCGGAUGUGUUAAGACUGUGAUGGUAAGAUCAUGUCAUCAUGCGAUAAUGAGUUGCAAGGUUAUGAUAUUUUUCUCAAGAUGGCUGAUGGUUUUAACUUAAUUGGAGGAAUCUAUGAAAUAAUCAAGUCGUGUGGUGUGGCAUUGAGGGCAUGUUUGGUUCCUGGGCAAUCCCCUUGCCAUGCCGAUCACUGUUUGGUACCAAGCAUGAGACUCACUUUGCCUGGAAACCUCACCCAGCUGGGCAACGAAAUCCUUGCCCGUGCAGAAGAGCCAAAUCUGCUCUCCUGCACAAGCAAGGUUGUGUCGCACAUCAUAUGCUUCCUCAGAGCAAUCUCGCAGCAGUGGACUCAGCCUGAGCUUGAAAUACUGAAGCAACAAAAUUGAACUGUUACACAAAAAGAAGGCAAAAACGAAGCCAUGCGGCCUAGAUUGAAACAUGAAUCAAUGAUCAGGUAGACAAACCAUAGAGAUUGGAGAAGAUCUCUGCCGGUCUGCCCUGCUACCAUUAUCAGAGUCUUCAGAGGGAUGUGCCAGAGCCAGUGAAGCACACGGGAAAGUUGAGGCGGCGUGGAUAACAGAGGCGCGCCGGUGUCAUGCUGCUAGCCAUGCUUGUAGCCAUUCCCGUGCUCACAUAACCAUGGUCAGGUUUUGGAAAUGCAUUUCAUUUGGGAUUUGAUUUGGUGGGAGGUUGAAGAAACGGAAAAGGGGAGAAAGGGAGGUGAACAAGGUUAGGAACCAAACAUGAAAAUGUUUUUUGCCACACCUUGCUCAGCGAGGUUGGGAAAAGGUUGCCUAUAGCCAUGGUUUUUGAGGCGUCGCCUAGGUGUUGAGGCGUACCCCAGGCGCCGCAGGAUGCCACAGGGUUUUAGUUUCGCCAUAUCGCCUAGGCGUCGCCUAGAAGGCACCUAGGCGUCCAGGCGUACCCCCAGCACCACAAGACGCUGCAACACCUCAAAAACCAUGCCUACAGUCUGCAUAGCCUACACUAGCAAAAGAUCCAAAGACAACCUAAACGGCAGGAAAAAACAUGCUGGCACAGUGGCACCUCAUUCACCCUUUCAAGAAUUUACACUAACAGAAGGGAGUACAAAGUAGGCUCAUUUUCUCUUGUGAAACAAGCUUGGAAAUCGUAGCUCCCUAUGUUAGCAUCAAUGACAUAGAUAGCAAAUUAUAUUGCAUUGGACAGACCAGAAAUUAUGUUGGUUUGGACAUUCGAAUCAUCAAGAAUAUAUGAUUCAAACUAUCAAUGACAAAUGUUCCCAAAAGUGCCUGAAUCACUUUCAAUUCUACCACAGCAUCUGGAAGUAAUAAGGAAAUUGGUUUGUCCAGGCAAGUAAAGCUUCCAAAAAUGGUAGGCCAGAUGGGAGGGAAACUGGACAAUGUAUCCCUGCUCUCCCAGAUAGUGGUCACCCUUGAUCAUGCCAAUUCCUUCUCUGGUUCUAUGAAAUUUGUGCAUUUUACUUCAGGGACCAAUUCUUUCUGUUAUUCCAGGUCGAUGCAUCAUAAGUUUCCCAAGCAAGACUGAAACCGGAGUCUUCAUCAUCCAACCCGCUAACUCUAAACGCAAAAUCUGAAUCCUCGUUUCAGAAACCGGGCAUCUUAAUUUCUCCAGACAACGCCAACUCGCAUGGAUCAGGACGAGGGGGGAAUGGAUUACGGAGGUGAGACGAGAGAUGGCUCACUUGUUGCCGCCGUCCUCGGAGACCUUGUUCCCGAACCGGAUGUGUCGCCCGGCGAAGAUGCCGCGCUUGGCCCGCCCCAUGACGACAUUGCUGUCGGGGAGCAUGUCCUUCACAGACUUCAUCAGCUCCGCCGGCAGCUUCCCCUCGCCGCCGACACGCCGCACCACCUUCUUGUACAUCUCCUGCGCCCGGAACGACAUCUUACCCCCUCCUCUAGACCUCACCUCACCCUCUUGCUACGACGGCGGCGCCGGCGGGCGGUUGCCUCGCGAGGUUUUGGUGCCUAGGGGCUAGGGCGGCAGGGCGAUGCAGUGCCGGACGAGAGGCGGAGAGAUGCUUCCCACUCGGCUGGCCGCUAGGGCUGCAGUAUUGGGCUUUGGGCCGUUGGUAUCAGUGUUGGUGAAUGGGCCUAAUUGGUUCCCGGCUGUAUGAAAAUUGUUAGGCCUUGUUUAGUUUCUUAAAAAAUUAGAAAAUCGACACUGUAUCACUUUCGUUUGUAUUUGAUAAACAUUAUUCAAUUAUAUACUAACUAGACUCUAAAGAUUCGUCUCGUUAAUUCCGACCAAACUGUGUAGUUAGUUUUUAUUUUCGUCUAUAUUUCAUACUCCAUGCAUGCGUCUAAAUAUUCGAUAUAACGGAGAAUCUGAAAAAUUUUGCAAAUUUUUUUGGAACUAAACAAGGCCUUAGAUGUCCCAGAGAAACAGAUUGAGAUAAUGUCCAGGAGAAUUUUGUGAUUAUAAUAAAAAAGAUGAUAACAAAUUAUUUCCAACCUACACAAAAUAAUAUUUUCCUCAAAUAUCCAUAAAACAAUCAUUACUUUAUCAGGUUUUGAUAAAAGAAGAAGAGAUGAUUGUGUUGUAUUCAAGUAACUUGAGGAAAAUCAACUCUCAAAAAAGAAACUUGAGGAAAAUCAGAAAUGAUCAUGAUACGGUGCCUUUGGGCCUGUUUUUGUUCUCCUUGCUAAAUUUUAACUAACUAAACUUUAGUCAUUUUAAUAGCUAAACUUUUAAACAUAUUGUCUAAAAAGAAGCUAAAAUAGUUUAGAUAUACUAGUCAUCCAAGAGUAGCUAAAAUAAUUUUAGUUGGCUAAAAUUUAGCCGGAGACACGUGCGCAGCUUUGUCCACUUGUGUACAAAUAAGUGGUUUUACACUGUUUUGUAUGAGGAUUGCAUGAAAAUCCAGGUGGAUUGUGAAUUAAGCACCUGUGAUUGGCAACGGACCAACAGUUUAGAGCGCUGCAUAUGGCCAAAAAAAAUCCGAUAUCAAAUUAUAUUGUUUAUAUUUAUGUUAUAGAAAAAGCCGAAGUACAGCACUGCCUGUCUGCCUUUUGUGGCUUGUUACUCGUAAUACUGAUGAUGAUACCAAUGGAGAGCAUGUCGGCUCACCCUUAACCUCAACGUCUCUCUUUUCGUUAGCGCGAGCAGACACCUGCUAUAGCUUUGAAGCUUUCUGCACUGCUCGUGACGCGGAAUGUGUAAAGAAAACCAAAGCCGAACACAGAGCGGUGGCCGGAGGGAUAAAGAACACCAAAAGCAGAGACCGGACACCGGAGGCAUCUCUCUCAUCACAUUCACAAGUCACAACAGUCCAUUUCAGCCUCUGCACUGUCACUCUGCGCCCUCUUUUCUCACUUCUCAGCCUCCCAAGGCACACGCACAGGGCCCCGGAGGAGAGCAAGGACAGCGGAGGAGAAGCUGCACGAACCAUGGCGAGAGUAGAAGCGGUGGUCAUCUGCCUCCUGGUCCUCGCCAUGGACGUCGCCGCCGGCGUGCUCGGAGUCCACGCGGAGAAGGCUCAGAACCAGGCAAGUUUCCGUUUCUUUCUUCUUCUUUUUUUCUGUGUAGUGUACCGGGAAACGUUGGUAUUCAGGCUGCCCGGCGCUCACCUGGUGUGGUGCGGCUGGCGAUUGCUGAUUGCAGGGCAGGAACCUGCGGAUCCUGUUCAUCGAGUGCCGGCAGCCGGUGCGGCGGGCCUACGAGCUCGGCAUAGCGGCGGCCGCGGUGCUGGCGGCGGCGCACGCCAUCGCCAACGUGGCCGGCGGCUGCGCGUGCGCCUGCUCCGGCGACAAGCUCCGCCGGGCGUCGCCCAACCGCCAGAUGGCGUCCUUCGCCUUGGUCCUCACCUGGUACGUUUCCGUUCGUUGCAUGCUUGCGAUCGAUGAGCGCCGCCACAGAUUCUUGCAUGCGUCCUCCACUCCAAACAAGCGGAAAGGAAACGAAGGGGGACCUCGCCUUUCGAACACAAAUGCUUGUUUUGCUUUACUGACAAGCGAUACUUGUCGUCGUGGCUGUGGAGCAGGAUGGUCCUCGUCGUCGCGCUCGCGCUGCUGGUGCUCGGCGCGCUGCCCAACGCGAAGCGGAAGCUGGCGGAGUGCGGGGUGGCGCGGCACCGCUUCCUCUCCAUCGGCGGCGUCCUCUGCUUCGUGCACGCGCUCUUCUGCGCCGUCUACUACGCCUCCGCUAGCGCCGCCGCGCGGGAGGAUCGCCGCGCCGGCGCCGCGCCGCACGCGUAGUGUGUCCCUCCAUGACGCUGUAUCGUGCUCUUGAUGAUGCUGUUGCGCAGAAGACACACUAUACGCCUGCUGUAUUGCUCAGCUAAUCCCAUAUCUUCUCCGCCGCGAGAUCACAUGGGAUGUAAAUUUGUUUGCCUGGUUUCUUGAACGAUCAUGCAUGGUUGUUGGUAUGCUCGCCGUACGUAUCAGUGAAAUCUUUCAGGAACUCGAUGGCACGAUGCUUCCACAGUGGUCUCUCGAUCAGCACAAUCGAGAAUGGGUCGAGUUGACACAACAUUCAUGAGAAGUUCAGCACCGUGUGACUUCUUUUUUUUCCGUCCGGGAUCGCCAUAGGUAUAAGGUUCUCAAAAUUUUUCAAGAUUAUAUUGUCACAUCAAAAUUUGCGGCUCAUGUAUGAAGCAUUAGAUAUAGAUAAAAAAGAUAACUAAUUGCAUAGUUUAUCUGAAAUUUGCGAGACGAAUCUUUUGAGUCUAAUUAAUCUAUGAUUAGACAAUAAUUAUAAAAUAAAAAUGAAAAUGCUAUAGUAGCGAAAUCCAAAAUUUUUCAUGAACAAUGCCUAAGAUGGAUGUGGCCAAACGGGCCGAACGGCGCAGAGUCGAGAUCUUGUUUGGGCCUUGUUUAGUUUAAAAAAAAUUGUAAAUUUUUUCAGAUUCUCCGUUAUAUCAAAUCUUGCGGCAUAUGGAACAUUAAAUAUAGAUAAAAAUAAUAAUUAAUCACACAGCCUGUCUGAAAUUUGCGAGACGAAUCUUUUGAGUCUAGUUUGUCCAUGAUUAACAAUGUUUGUCAAAUACAAACGAACGUGCUACAGUGCUCGUUUUGUCAAUUAAAAAAAUGGAGCUAAACAAGGCCUUGGUAUGGCUCUGCAUUACUGGUGGAGUAGGGUUUUUUUAGUUUUAUUGGUAGAAUUGAAGCUAUUUUGGAAAAAGUUUGGUAAAAAUAACCAAGAAGAAAAUAGUACUUUUAGGUUCAUAUGGAAUUCACCCCUUGUGAAACUUAUAAAAUUGGAGCCGGUUUGGUAGAGCUCUCCUUCCAUAUUCUUGAGCUUCACUUCUUGAAUCUCCGACGGAAUGAUUCUAUAAGAGAAGCACGAAGCAGGUGGCUAAACAGGGAGCAGGGGAGAGUGGGAGGUUUUUUAAGCUCUAAGCUCAUAGUGUAAAUGAAGAAAUGAUCUUGUCAGAUUCCAAUUACAUUUUAAACGUUUGGUGGUGAUCCAAAAAAUCCGCUCCCAAGAAGCUGAGAGCAAUGCUGUACUAAAAUGACUCCUAAAUUUUAAGGAGUUCUACUUGAAAAGAUGUUCCAUUUUAACUUGUUUUUUUAGGGAAAAUGGAGGGGUUUGCACCCCUACAGGAAAACUUUAUUAAGCUUAAAGGAGGUUUACAGGUAAAGAAUGAAACAAGUACAGAGGAAAAAGCUAAAGGAGGCCUCUAGGAGACAAAGAAGUUAAGAAAUAAAAUACAGCUGAGAUCGAAAGGAUUGUAUGAUUUGGAAAGGAUCUAACUCAUGGUCAAUCUAAAGACUGAGCCAACUCCAACAAUGAGUGGCGAAGGGGCACUCCAAAAAAAGGUGUAAUGAGGAUUCUUCUUCUGAGCUCGUGCAUAAAAUGCAGCUGUAGUCUUGAAGUUUCAUACACUUUCUUCUUAGGAGCUCCCUUGUGCUUAGUCUGUCUUUGAUCAAUAGCCAAAAAAACACCUUGUGUUUGUUCUGACAAGAGGAUUUCCAUAACCAUCUAUGUGCGGGAUUGAAAGCCCAAGUUUAGUUUUGGUAAUUAAUGACACCAAGUUGCUAAUGUCAUUGUGUUUUAGUGAUUUGAGUUAGGCAUAGCAACACAUGUGAUGAAGGAGAAAUGUGACAUGGAGUGGUGGACAUAUGAUCACAAAGAGAUAAAGCAUGAAGUGGAGAUCAUGGUGCUAGACAAGGAGUAAAGUGAUCAAGGCAAAUGUAUGAACAUAUGAUUUUGCUUUUGCCGAUCUAAGUUAAGUAGAGAAGUGAUUAACCUGAUUUAGGAUAGAUAGCCGACUAACAAGAGGGGAAAUCACGGUCAUCUCUUGAAUCAAGUGCUACUAAGUCCAUAUCUUGAGCAUAUGUAUUAGGAUCUAGUAAAGUGCUAACCUAACUUAUUUGAUGAUAAUGUUUGUGAAAUACUAACACACAUGCAUAAUGGUGGUGAACACUUGGUGGUGUUAGCGUAUUUGCAAAGGAGGUGGAGUUCUUAGGGUAGAGACGAAUUUGGGUUCCUGUCUCCCUCCCGCCGAGCUUGCGAGGCAGGAUUCAACGCUUUCGAAAAAAUGAAAUGCAUAUUUUUUACUACGCAGGAGAUUUUUUUUGGAAAAAUCACGCGAGUGUUUUUUAUUGAGAAACACUCGUCGAACGCUGGAUCAGAUAGCGUCGAACAGUUGAGGCCACGUUCGAUGAGUGCAGCGCAGUAAGGCACAAACAGUUGAGUGCGUCUUAGCGUCUCACGAGUUCGCGUUGGACGCGGCUCCAAUAAUAUUCUUGUGGCCGGUGAUUUGUUGAUGUCAGCAAGCGAGUGAGCGAUUGAGCUUUUGUGGCUGUGAGCGUCAUACGCUAGAGAGCGUUCGGUGAGAACGCGUGAGACGCGUCCGACGAUGCACGUUUGCAAACCUCUCUAAGUAGCGCCCGACAUGAGGUGGUACGUUCGAUGUCGAGCAUCUGACAUGUCUGAUGCUCUUGUUUCCUAAGUUUUAACGUUCUAGUGAUUGUUGGCAAUCAACGGUGCACGUUCAAAGUUGUACACAUGGUACGCGAGGCACGCGAACGUUAGACGCUCUGUGACGGGGUGGCGUCGGAGCGUCCGACGCCCCUGCAAAAAGCCUAACAGCUAGUUUUCGAGUCAUCCUCUUUAAAUAGAAGGUGGUCGGCCUUGGGGGUUUCACUCUUGCAUCUUUGAACACUUGAGACAUAAUUUGAGCUAAAGAACACUCCCUCCACUCAUCUCUCUGCUUGAUUGCUAAUCCUAGUGAGAUCCAAGUGCAUUGUUUAGUGAGUUGCAUCUAGUGACACUUGAUCCUUAAGUUUGCUGUGGAUUUCUGUUACUCUUGGGUGUUUUCCGACAAUCUAGACGGCGUGGAGCAGCGGAGAAUCAUAAUUGGCUACUCUAGUGAAUUGCUCGUGGCUUGGAGGAUCACCGGAGUGGAUGUGCGGUACCCGCUGAGAGUUUGGCUUGAAUUGCCAAUUAGCUCGUGAUCCAUCAAAUGGGUAUAUCGCCACAUUAAGGACUAGCUUGCCGAGAAACAAGUUAACCUCGGUAAAAAAUCGUGUGUUAUCUCGUGCUGAGGAUUCUCUAUUGUGAUUGUGUUUGUAAUUCAUUGGAUAUAUCUCUUCUCUACAACGUCAGUAUAAUAAUCAUUCUUUAUUCUUUUACUUACUUGCUUACCUUGCUAAUUGUUUAGCUUAAUUUUUGUUUAGAGUAGAGCUCUUGUGUAGCCUUCUCUUAUUGUUGUGGUUUAGCGUUUAACCUUAGCCUUGUACUAAAUUAUUUAGGUAGCUUGCAUAGCUUGGUUGAGGUAGUACUAAAAUUGCUUCGCCAUUUGUUUUAUUAACUCACUUGUAUAGUAACGUUUGUAGAAAUUUUAAAUAGACUAUUCACUAAAAAUCUCGGACUUGCUGUAUAAGUUGAUCAUGCUGUAACCCGACGUAUCAAAUCUAUAUCUCUUAUAAAGAUAAACUUCAUACAUGUGCUUCAAAAUUCGAUUUGACAGAGAAUUUUGAAUUUUUUUACGUCCGCAUGAAUGUGCACGGAGUCAAAAUGCUAGACACUGACAAGUGGUCCACACCAGUGACACGUCACCGAUCCGGCGAUUUCCGCUCUGCGCGCGCGUUUGCCGACGCGGAACCGCGCAAACGAAACGAAACGAGCCCUCGCGCGCCACGCCGCCUCCACCGCCUCGCGCCGCUUCCGGAUCGCGGACCUGCGACCCGCGCCCACCCCACGCAUCCGCCGUCCGCGCGAACGCAUCCGACGGCUCCCCACCCACGAUCCGCGUGAUCGACUCCCAUUGGCUGGCCCCGUGGCCCCACGCCCCUAUAUAUAUCGCCCCCCGCACCGGACAGCCUCUCAUCUCCCGCGACCCGCGCGCCGCAGCCUCCCGUUUCAAUCAAUUCCUCCAGCGCAAGCCGUCUCGUCGUCGUCGUCGUCCGGUCGUGAGGAGAGAUGGCGGGCCGUGGCAAGGCGAUCGGCGCUGGCGCCGCGAAGAAGGCGACGUCGAGGAGCUCCAAGGCCGGGCUCCAGUUUCCCGUCGGCAGGAUUGCCAGGUUCCUCAAGGCCGGCAAGUACGCCGAGCGCGUCGGCGCCGGCGCCCCCGUCUACCUCGCCGCCGUCCUCGAGUACCUCGCCGCUGAGGUUCGUGCCCCGUUGUCCUUUUUCCCUCCCUUCUUGUUGCGCUUGGCUUCGUGUCCGUGUUGAUGCCGUCUCGAUCUGGUUGUUUCGCCCUGGGCGAUUGUUCCUAGAUCUGAAUCGAAUCGUCUCCUGGAUUUGUUGCAUUGUAAUUUGAAAAGGCUUACGGCACUGGGUCUCAAUUAUUUGCUCGGAAAACACCAGGCCUUGUUUAGUUCCGAAAAAUUUUGGGAAAUAGACACUGUAGCGCACUUUCGUUUGUAUUUGAUAAAUAUUGUCGUCUAACUAGGCUCAAAAGAUUCGUCUUAUCAAUUUCGACCAAACUGUGCAAUUAGUUUUUAUUUUUGUUUAUAUUUAAUACUUCAUGUAUGUGUCUAAAGAUUCGAUGUGACGGGAAAUGUGAACUAAACAAGGCCUUACAUUUUAUCAACUAGUAAUUGUUAACAUGUGCUCAUGUAGAAAUCAGAAAUAUAUGGUGAAUGGCAAUUAAAUCGACUCGUCUGCUCUAUCAGUUGCAUUGUAAUACUGUAAUAUAUCUUUGGAUUCUGAAGUUUAAGAAAUAAUUGCAAUGUUGAACAUUAAACCUGAGGUAUAUGCGAAGGUUGUGGCAUUCUGUCUUGUCCCUGCUAACCUAUAUGUGCGUUCUCUGUGGUGCAUCAACAGGUCCUCGAGCUUGCGGGAAACGCCGCGAGGGACAACAAGAAAACCCGCAUCGUGCCUCGCCACAUCCAGCUUGCCGUGCGCAACGACGAGGAGCUGACCAAGCUUCUGGGCGGCGCCACCAUCGCGAGCGGUGGCGUGAUGCCCAACAUCCACCAGCACCUGCUCCCCAAGAAGGCUGCCUCGUCCAAGGCCAGCGUCGACGACGACGACAACUGAGUCUCCCCGCCGCGGAUGGGACUCGAGGGCCGUCUUGUUUCGUAGGAUUAGCAGGCUGUUGGCUUUGAUUUCUUGGAGAGCUCGAUGUGCUGGGAAGCAGAAGUAGGAGAGGGUCACAAUAGUUUCUUGGGUUGGUUGGUUCCCUAGAUUCUUUGCAAUGGGAUGUGAAUACGGCUAAGUUUUUGGGUUGUGAAACUCAGGGAUGUACGCCAGAUAAUUUAAACGUUGAAGAAGAAAUGGAAGGGGGUUAAAGUUUGAACAAUCCUUUGUGAUGUGUGAUCUCGAUGUCUUAUUUGCAUUCCUAUUCAGAACUUGUGCCUGCGUUCGCUUCUGUUCACAGCUGCAGCUGGCUCCGUUGGGAUCUUUGGCGCUAGUGUAUCCAGAGCAGUUGUGGUAUCUGAUCUGCAAGUCGAUUGAUUUUGCCGUAUCACAGUGCUACAUUGUUUUCUUUGAGAUGGCAAACUCGAUGCGAUUCUGAUGUUUUUAUCGAUAAAUUUAACUAAACUAAUGGGCUAGUUGACAUCCAAUAGAUUCUAAAGAAACCCGCCAAAGUGCCCGUGAAAACUGAAUCAGUCACAGGCGUGCCGUUGUGAAGCUGACGCUAGGAGAAAAUGUUCCGUUUGUGUAGGUGAGCUCAUGCGCAUCCACAUCCGGGUCUCAGGCCUUUAGUUCAUCCAAAAAUAAAAAAACUUCUCUGUCAAAUAUAUGAUAUAUGUAUAAAGUAUUAAAUAUAAAUGAAAAUAAAAACUAAUUAUCUGAAAAUUGUCAGAUAUUUUUUUAAAUCUAACAAUUAGAUAAUAAUUAUCAAAUAAAAAUAAAAUCAUUACCGUAUCCUAAAUCAAAAAAUUCGGACCUAAACAAUGCCAUUCUGCACCGAGCUUCAGCAGUUGCAUCGCAUCUCGAGCACCUGCCCUACUUUUUUUUUGGAAAGGGUUGUACUCUGAAUUUAGGCCUUGUUUAGUUGGCAAAAAUUUUAGUUUUGGGUAUCGUAGCAUUUUCGUUUGUUUAUGGCAAAUAUUGUCCAAUCAUAGACUAAUUAGGAUCAUAAGAUUCAUCUCGUGAUUCACAGGCAAAGUGUGUAAUUAGUUUUUGUUUUUAUUUAAAUUUAAUACUUAAUGCAUGUGUCGCAAGAUUCGAUAUGAUAUGGAAUCUUGAAAUUUUUUUGGAACUAAACAAGGCCUUAGUAGCAUGUUAAGUGCAACAGAUUGACUUCAUUUUUUUUUUUUGGCUGCGGAAGGGUUCACAAAUUUUGUAGUUCUACAAAAAUCCGAAAUAUCGGAAUAUUUAUGAACUCAAGGAUUAAGAACUAUGGGUACGAUUGGUUGACCUCCAGACUUGUGCAAUUUGAUAAUGUUUAGUUGUCUUCAUAAGCUCUUAUGUAGGCUUGUAUAGUGCUCAAAUGGACCUAUGCAGCAUUAGGUAGUACAUUUAAUUUUAAAAUGCUAGACAAUGCAUAUUUAUAUAAACCGAUUGACAAAAACAUAUAUUUGAAUUCUACACCUUUACUAAAAUUAUGAGACCUCUAAAACUAGUUUCAAUGGAGGGUUUCAUAUUUCAUUUUCCAACACGUCAUAUUUUAGAAAAGUGCAAAAGAGUUUUGUCAACAUAAAAUUCUUAUAAUCUCUCUCUUCGUUAAUAUGGUGCCACAUCAGCAUAUUUAAUGUCUAUGAAACUUCGAUAAAAUCUCAUUGAGAGUGGUCUAAUAGAACAUACAAGGUGAUUGCAUGCAAUAAAAUGUAAACAAACAAACAAACAUACAUAGGCCUUGUUUAGUUCGCAAAAAUUUUCAAGAUUCCCUGUCACAUCGAAUCUUUGAUCGCAUACAUGAAGUAUUAAAUAUAGACGAAAAUAAAAAUUAAUUACACAGUUUACUUGUAAUUUGUGAAAUGAAUAUUUUGAGCCUAGUUACUUCGUGAUUGGAUAAUGUUUGUCAAAUAAAAACGAAAGUGCUACAGUAGCCAAAAACCACACUUUUUGCGAACUGAACAAGGCCAUAAUUUUAUUGGACUUGGUUUGUCUAUGCAUGACAACCAAACACAAUGAUCUAUAUAUUAUUGCAAAAAAAAAAGAUCUUAUUGCAUCGAUAAUCUGCAGCAGGGAACUGGUAUGAAUGGAGUGAGUUGAGUAGCCUAAAUGUGUCCAAUUGUUACCGCAGAACUUGUAAUUUGUAAACUAGAAAAACAGAGGGCCAAAGCCGAAAACUUGUGCUCAUACAAAUAGGACCAACUGACCAGCAGGCCGAAAUUGACGAGCAAGAGAAAGAAAACUCCGAGGCCCACGACCCGGUGGUUCCCGUGGGGCCCACGAUCCGGACGAAACGCUGUGGCGGCAAAACCAAAACCAACCCUCCACCGCACGGCACUCUUUCUCCAAGCCCCAUCGGACGGUUACGAUCGAUCCCCCACCGAGCCACGUCACCGAUCCGCGCCCUCCCGCCCCAUUGGCUACCCGUAGCUAUAUAAGACAACCACCCACCGCAUCCCGUCCUUACGCACUCGUCCUGUGUGUCCGUCCUCCCACCACCACCGCACGCUCCGCGCUUUCGCUUUCUCCCGUCUUCCCAAGCCUUCGCUUCGCUUCGCUUCUCGCUGCGGAUCCCCUCUCUGUUUCUAGCCAUGGCCGGGAGAGGUAAGGCGAUCGGCUCGGGCGCCGCCAAGAAGGCCAUGUCCAGGAGCUCCAAGGCCGGGCUCCAGUUCCCUGUCGGAAGGAUCGCCAGGUUCCUCAAGGCCGGCAAGUACGCCGAGAGGGUCGGCGCCGGCGCCCCGGUCUACCUCGCUGCCGUGCUCGAGUAUCUCGCUGCUGAGGUAAAGAAGACUUCCAAUUUUGCGGCUAUAGUCUUCGAUUUGGUUUUGAGUACUGAAAAAUUUGGGUCACCGGGGUUUCCUCUUUUUUCUUUUAUUUAAUAUAAAUUGGGGGUUAAUUGACGAAAUUACUUGGAUUUGAAGUACAAUAAUUGUUGGAUUUUGGCUAAACAUUCAAAUUUAGGCGGUCUAUUUCCUAGUAUCUAUCGAACCAGUGAGAAUUUUGAGUAAUCGUUGGGUUCUCUCCCUGUUCGUGCAGGUUCUCGAGCUGGCCGGGAACGCGGCUCGUGACAACAAGAAGACCCGCAUCGUUCCGCGCCACAUCCAGCUCGCCGUCCGCAACGACGAGGAGCUCUCCCGCCUGCUGGGCACGGUGACCAUCGCUAGCGGCGGUGUCAUGCCCAACAUCCAUAACCUGCUGCUCCCCAAGAAGUCCGGCGGCGGUAGCGCCAAGGCUGCUGCUGGUGAUGAGGACUAGAUCCCUGACCACGCCUUUCUUCCGGUGGUGGCACUUCCUGUGGGUGCGGCCGUAUCAACUUGUGCUUGUGUAGUAGUACGUUCUAGACUUGCCUUAGGUGUUGUGUUGGGGGAUGUGUUCCUGUGUACCGCUGCUAAACUAGGUUACUCUUGUGCUUGCUAAGGAUUAGUUCUGUAUUUGUUGCUAUAAACGGUGCAUCCUUUGGAUGACUGGUUGAUCAAACCUGGUAUUCCAAUUUACAGUUUGUGUUGGAUGGGUUCAAAUUUUUGGUCAGUCCAGUUGAAAAUUCUGAAAUGUUGUGCUGUGCAGUUUUGAAAUUCAUUUCUGAGAUUGCCAUCGGAUCAUUGGAAGGAUAUGGUGACCUCUGCUAUGUGGAUUUGAUGUAUCAACUAUUGGUGAUUGUGCAUGUGAAUGUGCGUUCAUUCAGUCACUCCCAAUCUCAGACGUGAAUUUCGGGACUGCAGCAAAGACUUCAAUCUGAAAGUGCUUUGACAUGAAAAUGUGGGCUGUGAUCUGAAAGGAAGCUGUUAGAUUGUUGCAUGUUUCAUGAUGCACAAUGAAGUUUUAUGCGGGCAGUUCUGAAUUUUUGCUCGAGAUUUCACUUACCCCGAAAAUUUAAACCGGAAACAUUUGUUGAUUGACAUCCAAUUUGCGAACACUUGGUUAUGGUUACGGCCUGCAAUUUGCGAACAUGGGCAUAUUUUCAGUCCUCUAAGCUCUAGUCUUCUAGAUGGAUAAAGCCAAGAACAGACUACCCUGAAGUUUUUUCACCAAGAUUAGGCUCUCAAGUUCUGUAUUUCCUCUCAGAACAAGGCUAAUUAGAGGAUUAGCACAGAUCUUGGCUUGAGUUAGCUGGGGAUCAUUCAGCCGCAGCAACUGCAUAAAUGAUGGAACAAACUUCUUGUUACACUUUGUGUUGGUUUGUUUGCAAGGGUAUUGUGAAAUUACAAACAAAGCCAUCGGAUUCACAAGUCUGCGCUGCAUUUCUCUGUGUUUUGUGUUUUGUACAAUGGUACAUUUGUACAGUGAACAGAAGAACAGUAUUAGUCAGACUACCUCCUGCAUUUACACCGGCUCUAAACUAGAGUCAGUUUUCUUCCAUUUCCUUUGAAUUGCCCAUUUUCCUCCAGUCACCUUUCAGAUAGGUGCUGUCUCGACCAUGAUCAUCCUUCUUGCUCGAUGGGAUAGAGUGCCAAACAACCCCCUUGGCCAAGAAUGCCAGAUCAGGUCUGAUGAUUUGCCAUUACCAACACAACAGUGUGUAAAGUCAGGCCAGGUGCCCAGGUUUCCCAAUUUGAUUGUCGAUCAGUGAAUGGCCAAAAUAGCGUUGAUUAAUCAUUCCCCAUCAACUUUCAUUUAUUUUGUAUCACCGCACUAUUGUUUGGAAGGGUCCAUUCAGUGCACUUUGGAGGGGAAGACAACCGGUUCCUUGCUAAUCGUCUUCAUCAGAGCUUGAGCUUGAACUGUCUGUCCUUUGGUCUUGAAUUGCUGGGAAUAGCUUGCGCCUGGGAUCAUUGAAAGAUGCUUGGGGUGGUUGAGGGGUCUUUGUUUUCUUUGGAGCCACUUUUGAUGCUUCUUUCACUUCUUUGCAAACCUUCUCCAGCAUUGCAAGGAAAUCUCGCACUACCACAAACAACCGCAGGCCCUCGUCUUUCCCUGUACUCCCAUGGAAAUAAUCAACAGUGCCCCGGACCAAGGACCGUAUUUUCUUCUCUUCCUCUAGCAACAAAGCAACAUCAGUUUGAGACUGCUCUGCGAAAUGCUUCAGCUUGUGGUGAAACCUGCUGUCUUCAUCCAGACUUUUCAUGCUCGUGUUAAGGAAUUCUUUGGUUUUGCCAAGCUUGUGGCCAAGGCUUGCUACUGACAUUGUCAAUUGAUCUGCAUCCAGGAUUGCUGCCUUCCUGACAUUUUGUAGCUCAUCACCUAAAUUGGAUACAACUUUCAGCCCAAGUUGUUUGUAAUCAUCUUCAGUUUGCAUAUUAUUACCGUCAGUAUCAUUGGCAUCCACACUGGAUACACUACAAUCCUGCUUUUUUGCAGCCCUUGUAGCACGGAUACCUUCAGAACGAAUGAUUUCUUGAACUACAAAAUGCAGAAGUGUUGUCUUCCCAUCAGUUCCUUUGACAUCAGAUAACUUAAGGAGCGUGUCAAGUUUAAAAGCCUGAGCUCCUCCACGGAAUGUGCCGACAUUCAUCCGGUUUCCUGUUUUAAGGACCGCUUCAAGCAGCUUCAAGAAAAGUCGGCUGUUUUUAAGCUCUUGGCAAGCCACCUGAUCAGGAAAUGCCAAGAAAGCACCGAUCAGAACAUUGAUCAAUAUAAAGAGUAGAGUUUGGAAGGAGCUUAUGCAAGUUGUCUCAACUACAUAUUAGCUAAAGUAAAAAAAAUCAAUAUCCACUCCUACAGGUGUGCACAAAUAGUGAGCAAAAGAAUCAGUCUAAGAAAACAAAAAUAAAAUUAAUACAUCAGUGUCAUAUAUAAUGUAUAAAUUGAGAGGUUACAAUGAAUGUGUUAUUACCUCUAAAGUAGCAAAAGAAUGUUUCACAUUUGAAGCUUCCUCUGGUAGAUUGGACAUGAAAAGUAAUGCAUCCAAGCGUUGGAAAAUAUAUGGAAUAUCAAUAAUUGCUUUUAGGAAUUGCUCUGCAGGACCAAGCUGAGACAGUUCCCCAGUGUACAGUCGAAGCCUAAGCUCCUCAUCAUUGCUUGGGGUCCACUUUAGUAGGGUGUCUAUCAAGUCCGGUGGAAGUUCAUUUCCUACAAAUUAGCAAGGGCAGUGGGUGAAAUAAAAUACAGCGAUGGGAAACAGUAUAUCUCAGAGGAACCAUUUUGGUCGCAUAUGAAAAGAUGGAUGUUUGAUAUUUGGAAAAUGAGCUAACACCUUAGCUCAGAAAAAAGAGAUUAGUCUCUAAUAUUUAUAUUUAGGUUAUGAAGGUGAGGUCAAAUUAAUAUAGUCAUGUAGCAAUGCCACUAUAUCCAAUAUUACAAGAGAAGUUCUAAACCAGAAGAUGGAGAAAUUAAACAUCAUUGCAGCAUAAGUGAAUACUAUUAUUUUUUUUUUAGAAAAAACUGUAGAAUAAAUAUGCAGUUACAAGACUAUGCAUUAAGAGACCUAUGCAUGUAAAUGAUCAGUAAUGGCAGAAAACCGAUUUUACCUUCCUUAACUGCACUACAUACUUCCUCUGGUGAAACACUCAAAGCCCUUAAUGAUAUCGCAAGGUUCUGUGCCUUCUUAGGGUCAAGUAUCCUCACAAACUGAGGAACAUCCUUAGAUAAUAAAUCUUUCUUGCCAUCACCGCCUGUUUUGUCCACAGAGUUAUAACCAAAAAGGCUUUCCAUCUUACCCUCAUUAAACCUGCGGACCAUUAUAGGUAACUGGUGUGAUAUACUGAUAUUGCAACAUUGAGCUAGCCGAGGUAAAUAACUGUAAAGGGAUCGAUAAACUUACUGGAACGAUCCAGACUUGAGGUGAUCCCACACCAUAGACUGAUUAGCAUGUGCUGUUACUUUAUCCCAAAAGAAGGGCUUUAGCUUUGUUUUAGCUUCAUGAGAAUUUGCGCCAUCAUCCAUCUUAUUGCCUGAUUUCUUCAUAAGUGGUGGUGGACGCGUUUUCGAUGAACCAGGCAUUGCUGGUGGUGGUGGGCCGGUAGAUUUUGGUGGUGGAGGUGGAGGUGCAGCUUUUGGCUGCGGUGCAUCUAUUGGUGAAGGUGCAGCUUUUGGAGCAGAUGGUGAUGAGGAUUCAGGGUGAAGAAUUGGAGUAGGUUUUGAAUGUGGUGUGGGUGCUUGAGGAGUUGAUGAGGGAGGAGCCUUCAGAGGUGCAGGUACUUGAGUUGAUGAGGGAGGAGCCUUCAGAGGUGCAGGUGCUUGUGGAGUUGAUGAGGGAGGGGCCUUCGGAGGUGCAGGGGCUGGAGGUGGUACAGCUGGUGGAGCUGUUGGUCUUGAUCCUGGGAAAGAACCAGUAGAAGCAGCCAUUGGUUCAGCCAAACUGUUGUACACUGCUGGGGUAACCUCAGUUUUAGAGAUUUCUGAUGAGCUUUGUUUGACAUUGCCAUUUUGGCCAGCCUCUGACUUCAGCGGCAGUGCUCCCAGCUUGUUGAUAUCAAUCGGGUUUCCUUGGGAAAACUUAAGAGAAGCAGCUACAAAAUAAAGCAUGUAAAUCAAUACUAGAAGACAAUGGCACAUUACUCCUACAUUUUCUUACAAGGAUUUGACCAACGGUUACAUCAUCAAUAUUUCAAUUAUGUGAUACAAAAUUAUAAUCGUAAGUAAAUGUUUAGUACAAAACUAACAGCAUCAAUUUUGUUGUUGGCCAAAAGUAUUGUCCUAAUGAAACAAAAUGAACACCAUAAUGUCAAACGGAUGCAAUACACUGGAGAAAGGUGGGUGGGUGUAUUUCAUACCAGACAAAUUACUCAGGUUCAGAUUCACAAGCAGUUUAUCAUCCCUUACAUCAGAUGAGGAGCCCUGUUUUGCACGGCAAACACAGCAGCAUAAGCAUAGAAGAGCUAACAGCGCUAUAGCAGACACAGACAAACCAAUGAGAGCAGUGGUUGGCAUGCCACUGUUAUCUUCCUUUUUGGCAGCUGUUUUUUCAGUUUGGGGCACUGUCUUUUCUUUGGGUGUUGUUUCUGAUGGAGGAACUGGAUUUUUGUCAGGUUUUGUUGAGGACGGUUCCCCUAAAGAUGGAUUUGAUUUCACAGCUGGUGGUGGUGCAGGAGUUGCUGAUGCACCAGGAGGUCCUUGAGCCACAUCGCUUCUUAACAUGGCAAUAAGCAUUUUGAUAUAAUCAAUAGGCAAGUUUUUUGCACUCUCCUGCGCAGCAACAACAAGUGGAUGCUUGCUUAAGCAGUUAAGCAAAGUGUUCUUAAUUUGUGGAGGCAGUGCUUUGCUGACAUUUUCAGUUUCAGGAGAGCUGUCCUUAGUAUCUUUUCCAGAGAGCGUACGGAGAAUGUCAAAUACGUGGUUGUAAUUGAAAUGUUUUCUAACGUCUUCAAGAGAUCCCCUGUCUAGCCCACAUGAGGUCCAUACAUGAUCCACCUGUACGCAAAGUAAAAUGUCACUAUGUCAGUAUAUGCAAGGAAAGUCUUUCAAGGAAUGCUUUCACCAUUAAUUUAUCUUGGAAUCAUUCUCAAUUACUACAAAACUUCCUUCAAAAAAAUUACUACAAAACCAUGUGAAAUAUGAAUCUAAGGAUGUAUCUUUCGUGCACUAAACAUACAUGUAUUUUACUAAUAGAUGAUCAAAGUUUAUUUUAAAAAAGAAAACCACCCUAGAUUAUGAAAUGGAGGGAACAUUUAUAAGUUAAUCAAACAUUAGUACAAUAAUUACUUAUAAUAAUCACAGUUUUGCUAAGAAACAGCAGUCACAAAAUAUAUAUAGCAUUAUGAAACAAAAAUACUGAAGAAGCAUUCUGCUGAACCAAUGCAGUGAUGCACAAUAUUAGCACAGUAGCGCAAAAAGUAAACGUUACAGUUCUUUUUAUUGAAACUUCAUCUUAUUGACAGUUAAAAUCAAGGUGCUGCAGGUGUCCAAGGGCAAUAUGAAACAAGAAUCAGCAAAAUCAUGGACAAGUUUGAAAAUACCCAUCAAACUUCAGUGAUCUGAUAGCUUCUCUUUCAGGCAACAUGCAUGUCCCUAGAUAAGGAAAUUGCACACAUACACCUCUGUGACGAACUAAUACUAAGCUCAUCCUAUAUACUCCAUAAAACAUUAGGUUCCAUUGAGCUUUGAGCAGCCUUGACGACCUCUACAUUCCUACCAACAGGGUAUCUGAUGCAUGCCUUGCUCUGAAUUUUCAUUUGUAACAGAAAUACGCCACUCUAGUGAGUAGAACUAAAAUAUAGGAACCUAUAAAAGUUCAAUUCAAUAAAAUAGACAGAAAUAAGCUUACCAGAUCGUCUACUUCUUUGACAAGGGGCGGUGUCAAGGCUGGCGGUGACAAGUUCUGUGCUGCAACGAGGAGCUGAACGGAGACGAGGCACAGGGCCAGGAGCCAUGCGCUCCAACAGUGCCUCAUCUUGUCUGCCUCCUACACUACUGCGACCAUGUCAAUACAGCUGCCCUGGGAAAUGCAACAGCAAUUCUUCUCCCCCCUCAGAAAUUUCUCGGGAUGGACAUUGGACAACAAUUCAGAAUUUUGCAACAGCUCCAGAAUGCCACCUCCUUCGGGGAAUACAUGCAUGCAGAACGCGUGAAAUUGGAGCAACAAGAGAGAGCUUGUGCAACAGACACCUGUAGACGCUCGGAAAUGCGCGAGCUCAGGCGAGGAAGCUCAGAAAGAAUCACAAACUUGCGGGAAUUUCGGGGGCGACCAAGGCAAAGAAGAUCGGCAUGCAAAGCGAGCAAAACCAGCAAUGGAGAGCCCCCUAGCCUCGACUCCCAAAUCCGUGAAGAAAUUGAGCCGGAGAAAUUGGGGGGAAACAAAAAUGCAGAUAAUCCAAGUACAGGAGACCGCGCCAAUGUCCCCCUUACCAAAAACAAAAAACAAAAAAAAAUUAUAGAAAAGUUGCAGCACCAAAUCCGCGGCAAAACAAGGAAUUUGACGCGCGAUUCAGCGCUACCGAGGACGUGGAGGCGAUUCCUUUCGCUGCCUGCUCCCUCUUUUCUCGUUGGCGUCUCUCCCCGAAACGGGGGAGGAAGAAUGGAAGAGGGAGGAGGGGGGAGGGCGGUGGAUCGGUCCCCUUGGAAAAUGGGACGACCUUUUGCUACUUAUAUAAUCUAAUCCAUUCGUGAUUUGGCGGAUUAAGCAACCCAAAUUUGGCCUUCGCGGUUUAGCGUGACCACCGCCCAGCCCAGUAAAGGAUUCAUGGGCCAAAGUCUGGCCCAGAUCUUCCAGCCCAGUAAUAACUUUGUAAAGGAUUCGUGGGCCAAAUUCCGGCCCAGAUUGUCGUGUGGCUUGAUUGACGGCGGCAACCUGGGCCUCUAGUAACACGGCGGCAACCGUUGGUCAGCCGGCUGCCCGGCUCGGACUGGACGGUCCCGUUGUCAUCCUUUUAUUUUUCCUUUUUUUUUAUUUCUUGUGGAGGACUUGGUUGCACAAAUGUUCCAAUCCUCUCAUUUGCAUGGAAAAUGACUCAACACUGCUGCAUAUAUUAUUGGCUAAUUAUUUCUUUAGUAGUACUAGAAAAUAUGUCCAUACGUUACAAUGAGAAAGGAAAAAAAUCUUUACAACUUGGUUGAGAACUCAGUCACUCAGGUGAUAAUUUGACUUAUGGUUAUGGCUAAUGUCAAUUAUUUUGAAAAUUGACGGCCGGCUCAAGCAUGACGCUGACACAUAAAAUGAGGGGUUGUUUAGUCCAGAGAAUUGAAAAGGAAUGUCCUAGACAACAUCUCUACGUUGGGUCCACCACUGUAUCCAACAAUCUAUUGUCCAUCUCAUCCCAAAAGGAAAAAGAAUUUGUCUCACCGCCCCUACGACUCGCUCGAAAUUUCUAUCUCUGUUCCAUGCCAAAAUCUUUGGUGACCCAUGACGGUCUUAACUCUGAAAAGAAGGCAAUUCAUAAGUUUUAAGAAUAACCCGUCAGUAACAAAAAAACAGAGCAGACACAACGGAAUAUAUACUUCUAAAAUAAUGCAUAAACCAGGCAACUUUGAACAUCCCUUGUCGAAACAAAAUGUUAACAUCAAUCACAGUCAUACUGUAGACUGUAGGGUAGAAUGAACAAACAGGCACGUCAUAUGCACACGAAAGGAAACAACAUUGGUUUCAGACAGAAAACACAAAUGAAACAAACUUGUGCUUACAUAUUUCAACCUGUCUAUUUCUCAGACAGAUAGCUGUCAAUGCAAGAAAGUCAAAAUAUCAGUGGCAUACCAUGUUUAUGUUACACAUAUUAUGGAAACUUCAUCUUAUAACACAGUGGAAACUUGCAGAAGAUACAAGUAAUCUUAAGGUUCAGACACUAGAACUGAAAAUAUAGUUCAUAUGAACAGCAAGUCAGCAACCUUAUGUACGUAGAAUGCAUCUUUAGUGCAGCCAAUGCAAUGACCAAAGGUUACAUAGCCAAUAAGCUUUAAAAUGUCUAAGAAAUCAAAUAGCCAAAUAGAAUGUGUGAAUAUUAUUAUCUCCAUAACACAAAAGAGCAUUGUUUGCAGCUUAGCAGAGGAAAGUCUCAAAUUGGUCAGUCAAAAAUACAUUGGUGUAUAGAGCAGAAACCUGAUUUUAUUCAAGCAAAUUGACCUGUCCCCUAUAUUCCAGCGGCACUAAGUAUAUAUAAAUGCUUUCAGAUAUGUUCUCAUCACCGAUUUAUGUUGUCAUCACUGAUUCCAAAACAACACAAACAAGAAAAUUAUAGAAUAACUCCACGAUCAAUAUAUCUUUGACCAGACCAUCCAAUGACAAGGUAUUAUCCUAUCAAGAUCCACCAAGCAUACAACAAAAAAAGUGGUUAUCCUGUUUAUUUUACAAGCGCCCUUAAAUUCUCUUUUACUAUUUCUUCUAUUUUCUUUUAGUUCUCAAAGAUUUCCAUUGGUUCUGCGCACAGAUAUGAGUAAAUGACCAUAAGAAAUUUUAAGAAUUUAAUAACAUGCCAAUCUAUUCUAAUUAAGGACCUACCAGUACCUCAAAUUUUAUUUACCUUUGGUCCCAUAUAUAAGUCCAUUUAAGUUUUUAUUACUAAAUCAAACCUUUUUAGCUUUUAACACCAGUGUCUAAAAAAUCAUAUAGGUUGAAAGCAUUAUAUUUAUGUUAGCAGAUUUUUUAUGAAACAAACUUUCAUAUUAUGUAACUCUUUUUUAUUUAAAACAAUGUACUUUUGUAGAUGUUGUUAGCAACAUCCAUGUCAAUAUCAUAAUGGACUUAUAGGAUCAUAUCAUUCUAAUACUUUAUUCUAUAUUCUAAUAUGAUUUUCACAUUCUAAUUUAAUAUUUCAAAUACAACGUUCAAUAUUUCUAUGACAGUGCAAUAUUGACCUUCCAGAUUUUAUAUAAUUAUUAAGACACGAAAGCUAAACACUGGGGAAUUUCCAUCACUGGAACUAAAAGAUUGAGGCUCAUUAUUAAUGAAUCAAUUCGGUUGUUCCUGGUUAUUAGUUAGGCAAUCAUACAAAUCGGUUUACUUCAUUUAGAACUCUCUCUACUGUGCUGCUCACUAGCAGUAAGAUGCAUGUGCUGUUCAACUUUUAUUUGCAUUGCUGAAUCCCAGGAAAGAUGCAUGUGCAGAGCUAUUUUGAAAGCACUGAUCCCCACAACACUAAACCCACCUCAAUGAUCAAUGGUUCAAUACAUUUUAUAACAAACAGAGAAGAGUAUUGCAAUUUGUGGAGUCGAUCAGGAGCAAAAUCAGAAUAGAGAAGCAGCACCUUUUUCCCUUGUACCAGACGGAGAAAUCUUCAACCACUGUGGGGGUCGGCGGUGUGAUGCGUCUACCCAGGGCCUGGGCAGACGGACAUUCAUCUGCCUGUUUUGAGGGUACAAUCUACUCGCAUUCACACUUAGGCCCCAAUCGAGGGCCAAAUCGAGGCCCACGACACCUGGGGCAGCGAGAAGAGCGCAACGCGCCGCGGCACCGGGACCGCCACCCCGGCGCAGCAUGCCAUGUAGGCCACCUGUGGCGGCGGCGGCGGUGCCGCCGGUCCAGUAGUCGUCUCUCCGAAGCGCGAGCGACGCUGCAAUUUCGAUGACGGAGAGGAAGAUGCAGUAUGCGCCGAACCUGCCGGCGACGCUGGGCGCGUUCUGCCGGACAGCGUUGACGGCGCCGGCGAGGCGGGCGCCGCUAGGCGAGGCGCGGAAGCCCUUGACGAAGUGGACGGCGGAGCCGCCCGCCAAGCCCCACGAGAACAAGUCGCCCACGAAGCCGACGUAGCCAUAGACAGGGUCCGGGCAUAUAUCGUACGACGGCGUACGGCCCAUCGGUUAGCGGCCUGUCCCAGACUCCGGCGGCAGGAAAGCUUCUUCUCGAGGCUUGAUGAAGGGAUCGUCGAUGCGGGCAGCGAUUUCUUAAUAUUAAAAUAAGUUAAUUAUAAAAAAAACCGUAUUAACAAGUGCCAUACUCGCUCCAUAUAUUUUGAAGUCGUUUUGAAGUCAAACAUUAAACAUUAAGAAUAUAAAUCAUCAAUAAAUUUUAAAUUAUUGAGUUUGCAAAUAUGAAAAAUAUAUGAAUAAAUUUGUUUUAAAAAAUACUUUUAUAAAAGUAUACAUAUAUUAUUUUUAUAAAUAUUUUUAUAAAAAUAAGAGAUCAAAGUUAUGUGUUUGGAGACCAUAUCGCUCUCCUAAACGACUUCUAAAUCCUAUAUGGAGGAAGUAGAUGUAUAAAACAACAUUGCAUAAUAGUAUAUUUAUUUAAUAAUACUUCCUCAGUCCCAAAAAGAGGUAUCAUUAGUAUAUAAAUAUUGAUAUUAAGAGCUUCUGGUAAAUAAAUAUUUAAUCCAUCUCAAAUAUAAGAUGAUUGAUUUUUUUUAUAUCUAGUUUGACCACUCGUUUUAUUCAAAUUGUGUAAAGUACCACUUUUUUUAUCGUGGCUUGGUUUAUUAAUAAAAGUUAUUCAAAAAUAAUUUAAAUUUGACUGUGUUUACAUAAACUUUUUGAAUAAGUCGAGGAUCAAACUUGGAGUAAAAGAAUCAAAUAUCUUAUAAUUUGGGGUGGAUAGAGUAUAUUGUAUCCAUGAUACAUGCAGAAUAUCCUCUAAAUACUUGAACUUAUUUGACCACUAUAAAACAUGUCCUAUAAAUCUUAUGAUUGUUACUCCCUCUAUUCUAAAUUAUAGGUCGUUUUGAUUUUUUUAUUAUAUUCAUUUUACUAUGUGUUUACAUACAUAUAAUAAUAUAUCUAGAUAUAUAAUAAAAUAGAUGAAAAAAAAGUUAAAGCGAAUGUGAAAAGCCUAGAUGAUCGUGAAUUUGACGUAUACAUAGAUUCAGACAGGUGCGACUCUCUAAAAAGAGAGGCACAAUGCGGAAAUCUAUAACUCUUAUAAAGCUAAAUCUCACUAGAUAAAUUCUCUCUUUAUGCAAGCUGUUCAUAUCAUUUCUCACUAAGUAGCCCACUAAAUAUUCUAUCUCUCCAUGCAAGGUGUCCACAUCAUUCUCCAUGUCAUCCCAUAUUAAUUAUAAAAAAUGACCAUGUCAUUUAUAUCAUGUGAAAUACUUUAAAUCUUUAGUGUAUUAACAUAUAAGUUGUGUACAUACACUAUUUGUUUCAUCACCAAUUAAAUCCUCUAUAAUGUAACCAAAUAUUAGUUUUUGUUCUAUUAGCUUAGCAAAUUUUUUACUAGAUCUAAUAUAAUAAAAUACAUGCAAGUCAAAUUCAUAUAUAUACAUACAUAAUAGACCAAUUAAUUCUUCUAUAAUGUAACCAAAUAUUAGUUUUUAUUCUAUUAGCUUAGCAAUUUUUUUACUAGAUAUAAUACAAUAAAAUAUAUGCAAGUCAAAUUCAUAUGUAUACAUACAUAAUAGACUAAAUACCAUAUAGUAAUAUUAUACAUAUAAUAAUUUAUUUUUAAAAAAAUCCCACAGCAACGCGCGGGGAAUUCACCAAGUAACUGAAAAUAGAGUCAGCACUGCUUAAUGCAGAUUGAAGCAAAUAUAUUGCCAUACUCGAUCGGCAUUCAGGGCUGUUUAUUUUCUCUUUUUAAAUUUUAGCCAGCUAAAACUAUUUUAGUUACUCUUGAGUAACUAGUAAGACUAAAUUAUUCUACCUUCUUUUUAUUCAGUGUGCUUUAAGUUUAAAUGCUAAAGUAACUAAAGUUUACCAAACUAAAAUUUAGCAACAGAAGGCCUCAAUCUAUCGACGCUACCUGCUAGCUUACCGGCCCAUAUUCAUAUUUGGCCCACGUCAUGGCGUGAAGUUCCAAUCGCCGAUAGAUAGGCUCCCGGAGUCCCGACGUUGCUUUUCAUUUUCUUUUUCUUUUUCUUUUUCUUUUUCUUUUUCUUUUUCUUUUUCUUUUUCUUUUGGUUUUCUGCCUGUCAAGAUGGCUUCUUUUAUUCCUUUUUAUUAAUGUUUCGAGAUUUUAUUUUCCUUUAAUCGUUUCCUUUCUAUAUAUUACUUCUAUUUAAAAAUGUCCCUUCAUCACCCAUUUGUUACUAUGGUUUCCUUUGUUUAAAACAGAAGCAAUAAAGGCAUAGGGAUAGCAUUCUCUCUUUUAUCUAUUUUUCCUUUCUUUCCAUUUUAAAUUGUUGUUUAACUAUCGUUUUAUAUCACUCUAUCUUUAUUAUUUCCAUUUCAAAUGUCCCAUUAUUCUGCCCAAAUUUUCUUUUUUGUUAGUUCCUUUUUUUAUAUAUUUUUUUAUUUUGCUUUGUUUUAUCUUUUAGUUAUUUUUAUAUUUUAUCGUAUUUUUCAUGAUGCUAAAAUAUUUUUGUGAACAUAGGUCAUCUUCCAUAUUAUGCUACAUUGUCCCCUAAACAUAGAACAAAUUUGUUGUCAAUCUAAACAAAUUCCACCUAUCUAGUAUGUGACUUUCUUUUCUUGAAUUUGAAGCAUAUUUGUAACAAAAAACUACAUAUAAUUAAGAGAGUCUUGUAGAUGACAUGCGAUAUGGUUAAUAUGGUAUUGAAAGCUAUAACUAUUUAAUAAAUUCUAAUGUCUUUAGACAGGAAAAAAAAUCCAAAACUAAAAUGUUGCAAAUCUUGUUAAGAGAUUUAAUCUUCUUAGAAAUUUCAUCUACAUCUAGGGAUGGAAUAGGUGCUCGUUUUCAUAUGGUUCCGAUGAAGGUAAGUUUCUGUAUCAUAUAUGAAUUUAAUUUUAAAUUUAUUUUAAAACUAUACAAUAGUUGCCACUGGAUAGUUACACUUUGAAAUCGGGGAAUUUUCAAUAAACUGGCAAGGCGACAAGUAUUAUUUCCAUAUAUAUGAUAUUGUACUGUUUUAUCCCCUCCUUCAUUCCCACACUAUGUAUAAGAACAUAUAUGAUUUAUAGGGUGACAAAGCAAGACCGGCCCUAGUGGUGGUUAGUAUGGUGUUGAAAGUUGUAGCAAUUUCUAAGCAUCUUAAGGAGUCAAAUCAAAAGAGGAAAAAAACCUCAAAACUAAAAAGCCAUAGAUCUCAUCAUCAAGAGGUACAAUUUUCAUACAAAAAUCAUAUUAAUUUAGUGGAUGCCAUAUAAAAAAGGACGGUGCUAUUUUCUUCUAAGGCACGACGAUGCUAAUCUUGUCACACGAGUAUGGGUGGCAUAGCAAAAUAGAGUUACCACGCUAGCGAGAGUGGCAUGUUGGUUUUGACAUAGAAUAUGUGCCGGUAGACCUCAUUUUGCGCUACAAUGCGUGAUGUACAUGUGCCACACGCCCACACACCCACACAAACCCAUACGCAUGACGCGAUAGUGAUUUUUUUCCUCUUCAUUCUGCCUAUAGCACAGAAAAAAAGAUUAUAAUCUGCAAAUGAUUUUUGGACAGGUCAUUUUCAAGAUAUCAGUUAACUUUAUUUAAUAAAUAAAAUAUAACAAAACCCGAAACCUCACCGGCACAUGCGUUCGUUCGUGUGUGUGUGUUUUUUUUUUCAGCAAGGCACAUGAGUUUGAUGAUGAUACGAGUGCACCGUGCACGUGAACGACACCUACUGAUGGGGACAGACGCUGGUACACGGGCCGCUUCCUCCGGCCCAAUCAGGCCUGCUUGUCCUCUGCUGCUGCCGGGAGGGGGGAGAGCAGCGGCAGCUCCAGGACGGACCAGAAGCAGGACCAACUUGGGAGGAAGAAGAGGAAGGUUCAACGGAAGCGCUGCUAACCUGGAAGAGAUCGUCUCUCCUUGUAAAAAGAAAAAAAAAGAAGAAGGUUCCAGUAUAUCCCAACGCGCACGUGUUUAAUUGAAGCGCGUUCCAUGCCAUGCAUCGAUCUCCUGCCGACUCAGCACAUGGCAUGCGUCAUGUACGUAUGAACCCGACCCGGUAGGCUUGCACAGCUAGCUCACAUUGCAUGAUCGAUGCAUAUUGCAUGCCCGUCCCAAUCCUUGCACCAACACAGCUCAGCGAGCACCGAGAGCACGCAUGCAGGCGACGGCUGGCCGUGGCCGGACGCGGACGGGGAAACGGUCGCCCGGAACAAAUGGCGCCCCACGCCGUUGCGUUCGGGAUGAGGUGCGCGCGCGCGUCAUCGGCCCCGCCCCCGCCCGUGUGUGAGCCGCGUCGCCGAUGGGCCGUCCGUCGUGGCUUAACGCCUAUAUACUCCGCGAGUGAGUCCCGCUGCCCGCGCCGGCGAGCGAGAUUAUUUUGCCUUGCAUUGCCAGCAUUGCCGUCCGCUGCGGUCACUUUCACCUAGAAUGAACCGCUCUGCCUCGCGUGCACGUGCACACAGAUAUUGUUGCAGUCUCUUGCAGGAUGCAUACCGUGUCGUCUCGUGGUACUGCACAUUUAAUCACUAGUAUAUUUUAGGCAGAUAUUCCAUCACAUUGUACUAGCGCAACCUUGUUGUUCGUGUAAAAUUUUAGGAUGUCGUAUAGAGAUGUUUUACAUGGUUUGCUCGUAUAUACUAAUAAAAAAACUAAUUAUAGAAUUUAUGAGUAAACUAUAAGACGAAUUUAUUAAGUCUAAUUAAUUUAUUAUUACUAUAUGUGUUACUGUAGCACUUUAUUAUAAAAUCAUUGACUAAUUAAGGCCUUGUUUAGAUGUAUUUUUUUAAAAAAAUUGCUACUGUAGCACUUUCGUUUUUUUGUGGCAAAUAUUGUCCAAUCAUAGACUAACUAGGGUUAAAAUGUUCGUCUCACGCAAAAUGUGUAACUAGUUUUUUGUUUUCGUCUAUAUUUAAUGCUUUAUGCAUGUACCGCAAGAUUCGAUGUAACGGGAAAUCUUGAAAACUCUUUGGUUUUCAGAGGUGAACUAAACAAGGCAUAAGCUUAAAACAUUUGUCUCGUAGUGCAAUUAAUUAUUUUUAGUCUAUAUUUAAUAUUUCAUGCAUGUGUCCAAGCAUUCGAUGGAGAGAGGAUAUAAACUUUUGGAGAGGAACUAAACAGAUUUUAUCCUCACCAAAUCAAACAUUUUAAGUUUUGACUAAUUUAUUUAUACAACAAAAAAUGUAGUAUAGCAUCUCCGACGUCAAACUAGUUUCAUUAAUUUUUUCCAGGACGUGUACUGUAUUUCAAUAGUGCGUUUAUUUAGACUUAUACAUAUGUUAAUGUAGUUUUCUAAAACUUUAUCAAAAUUAGUGAAGUUUGAUUUGGAACAAAACUAAACUAAACUAUAAAUUUGAAACAUAAUGAUACGAUGACAUUCUCAGGGAUACCAAAUAUAGGAAUCAUACGUCUGGUGGGGCAUGCUAUUUUAGUACAUAUAACAAAAGUGUAGAUUUUCCAUGAUUGGUCAUAAUAAAAGCAAUAAUAUAUUAAAGAAAAGGUACUGUAUAUAUAUACAGACACGCCAUGAUGGCAUGGGAGAAAAAACGUUGAACACAAAAGAGGGCGGCGCGAUGGAUAAUUGGAUAGGCAUGACGAUGCCACGCCUGCAGCUAAUGAUAACCACACGAGCGAACGAUGCCAUGAUCUCCGUUCGGAUUCCAUCCUCAAUCUCCGAAGAUAUGUUGGGGAUCGGAUCUGAUGAAUUAUAGCUGACAUCUGAGAGAUAUCACGUCUCAUCUGAUCCGCUCGGGGGCUGUUCAGUUAGGUGGUGAUUUUUUUUUGGAUUUUGUCUAUCGUAACAUUUUGAUUUGUAUUUCAUAAUUAUUAUUAAUAUUAUGGAUUAACUAGAUUUAAAUAUUUGUCUUGUAAAUAACAGGUAAAAUAUAUAAUUAAUUAUUUUUUAUCUAUAUUUAGUGCUUCAUACAUGUACCGUAAGAUUUGAUGUGAUGCAAAUAUUAAAAAACUUUAUAAAUUUUAAUCUUCUAUUCGCUUGUCUUAUAAGUCGUAAUUUUUCUGCUAGCCAACGGUGUUUUUCUCAUAAUAAAUCAGCGAACAGUAUUUUCAACCUUGACUUCUCAUACCAGCGAACAAGCUUGGUCCAUAAUAACCAUGUCGUUAUGGUUAAUGUGUGUUUUUAGUAACGGGUUUGUAUAUUAGGCAACAAUGUAUGAAAAUGAUGUGUCUCAAAGAAAGACGAUCAAGAGCUUAGAGAUAGAGCGUGUUAUGUAUGAGCGGAUUUGGUUGUUAGAUCACAAUGCAAGAGAAGAAUGUGUCUUCGAAAUACUAUUAAGGACUCAGAUUCAAGACUAAGAAUAGAGUCAAGUAUGGCCACUCGGGUGUUCGCAUGGGGGGAAUGAGAGCUUAUAGCAAAAUCGAAUCCAUAAGGUAGUUGAUCUACAAAACCUAUCAUGGUUCAUCUUAUUAUAGACAUAAUAAAACAACUACGGCCUUGUUUAGUUCAUCUCAAAGAUCAAAAUUUUUUAAAGAUUUCUCGUCACAUCAAAUCUUGCGGCACAUGCAUAAAGCAUGCAUUAAAUAUAAACAAAAACAAAAAUUAAUUGUACAACCUAUAAAUCGCGAGAUGAAUCUUUUGAGUCUAUUAAUUCAUGAUUGGACAAUAAUUGUUAAAUAAAAACGAAAGUGCUACAGUAUCUAAACAGAAAAAAAUCAAAACUAAACGAGGCCUACAUCACACUUUCUCGCAACCUGAUUAAUUUUAUCUGAACCUUUUCGGCUUCGUGAAGAAGCUGUCCCCAAAGCCUAAUUGACCUCCAAACCAAUGUGUCAAAAUUGCUAUCUUGAUUCUUGAUCGAGUUGAACACUUUAGGCCGGUUGCCCCAAAGCCUAAUUAUCCCCAACCUUUUAAACAUAUUCCACUUUUAAAGAUAUAUAUAGGUAUGAUCGUUUAUUCAUCAGUUGGUACAACACAUGAUUGAUAAAUGUCUGUCUAAAAAAUAGAACAAUUUAAUAAUACGGAUUCCCUAUCAUCUGAACGCAUCUAGAAUAGUGCUUCUGUUAAUCGUCAUGGAACAGAGAUGAAAAUAUUUUAUACUAUCAAGCAAACCAACAAAUGAUUUAAAUAAUGUUUAUCUUGGCAAAGCUUAAUAAUGUGUCAACAUCUAAACACUCAGCACCUCGUAUUUGCCGUAGGACUUGAAUUUUACCAUUAAGGGGGCAUAUACGACCAAAUAAAACCUUUUAGAUUUAGACACCGUAGCAUUUUUAUUUAUAUUUGAUAAUUAUUAUCCAGUCAUAGACUAACUAAAUUUAAAAUAUUUGUCUCGUAAAUUAUAGACAAAUUAUGCAAUUAGUUAUUUCUUUAUAUAUAUAUAUAUUUAAUGUUCUAUGCAAAUGGUGUAAGAUUCGAUGUGAUGAAAAAUUUUAAAAAGUUUUGAGUGUAAGUGUAACUAAACAAGGCCGUAAUACUACAUGCGUGAGAAGUUUUGGAACUCUACCGUAGUUCAUUCCACGUACGAUUCUACUACAAUCCUGCAACUGCAAUAGCUAGGAGCGCGGUUCGACGACGACUAGGAUCACAGACAGCCUUAACCUGCUUGCUUCCAAUUCAGGGAAGGAAACAACAAACAAGUUGGAUCGGGAUCGCGCUGGGCUGACGUGCCACUGGUUGAGGAUCGGAUGAGAAUGAGAUGUGCGCGCACGUCAUCAAUUGCCCUUGCCGCGUCGUCUCGUCGUCGUCCACGGUGGCCUUGUUUAAUUCCGAAUUUUUUUUAUAUUUUUUAACACAUCAAAUUUUGCAGUAUAUGUAUAUAAAAUAUUAAAUAAAAAUAAAAAACUAUUAAUUAUAUAAUUUAUCUAUAAUUUACGAAAUAAAUUUUUUAAAUCUAGUUAAUCUAUAAUUGAACAAUAUUUAUAAAAGAAAGUGAUACAAUGUCUAUUUUACUAAAAUAAUUUUUUAGAAGUAAACGACGCCUGAGCUUCCCGGUGACGACUGACGAUGUGUCGCUGUCGAGCGUACGUCAACUUUCACGAAUAUCUAUCCGCUGGUGUUAUCAGAGUCUUCGUUAUAUUCGCUCUUUCACGGAAAUGAAAUGAAUAUUGAACGGGAAGAUAGGCACAGCGAGUUGCAGAUCGAACCUGUAUGUGAUGUCACCCUAGUAGGCUAAAUAAAACUGCUGUGAGAUAUCUCGUGACCGAAAUGGGAGUUGUAACGAAACUUUGCAUUAUUGUUUGACUGGAAAUUCAUAGCAACAAGACGACGCUGCAGCAGGCUCUGCCUAAUAUGCGUGGUCGAAGCAGCAGAAGCUGAAAGUUAUGUUUCACUCGUCUGUCAUGGCAUUGGAAUAACUUCAACUUCCACCUCUGGACAUGUUCGUCCGCUUGUCGUUUUCCUUGCAAUCUUACAAUAUGGUGGACGAAGCAAGAAGAGCUAAAAUCAGGCGGUAAACGUCAACGCAAUCAAUAAGUCAUCAUUAGUACUUCCUCCAUCUAAAAAAAAUAUUGAUUUGCUUUUAUCCCAAGUCACUAAAAUUUGUAGACACCAAAUAAUUGUCAUUAAAUUAUUGAACAUGUUUUGAUAACAUACAUAUUUGGUGUCAUAAAUAUUAAUAAUCUUCUCUGUAAAUUGAGUCACAUGUGGGAUAGCCUCUCAACAACAAAUUAAUGCGUAUGGGUGUGCCUCGCUUAGAGCAACUUCAGUAGAGCCUCUACUUGAGUCCAUGUAGCCAAGUAUGGAUCCCAAGACAAAAAAUGUCAUUUUAGUAGGACCCCUACUACAAACUCUAAAAUUAUUGACGCUUAGCUGCCAAAGCAUCAAUAAAGGGGGGCGAUUACUUAGUUGUGCUACAGUAAUUUGACGCUUAGCUGCCAAAGCAUCGGUUUUAAAAUUAGGCGGAACCCUGAUUUACUAACGACACAUACUCUACCAACGACCGUGGGGCUAUUUAGCGAGUAAUACACAUAUUACUGCUGCUGCAUGUGAGCUUGCUUCUCAUUAGUCAUAACUUGUAAGCUUUUGCAGUGGUUCUUACUUCCUAGAUCUACCUGCCGCUUCAACAUGGGUUUGAGGCAAGCAGGGGCCAAAGCCCAAAUUGACCUCCACUGAGCUCCGGCCCUAGCUGAAGCCCAGAUGACCGCCUAAGAUUAUCGGGUCCUAAGUUCGUCAUUGCAUUGUAUACUGUUAACUAUGCCCUAAAAACAUGUCAUAUUAUAUAUUAACCCCGGAAAAGAAAAAACGUGGACCAAAAGUGAUGUGGGAUGGGAUGGACGGGCAACAACUGGAUGAUGGCAAUCAUACUGUACCCACACGGGGCUAUGGUUCGCGAUCUCAUGAUCAUUUCGGGGACCUCAUCAUCCUCAUCGAUUGAUCCGAUGAACAUGCAUGGGCAUCCGAUCCGGUCUCGUAUACGUGGACGAGUGCUCGCCGGCCGCCGGGAGAGAAGUGAAUAAUUAGGUGCACCCACAGCUUUGGCUUCUACCAUGCGGAUGAAAAAUAUAGGAAAAUUUUCAUUUGCAUUUGAUUAUAGAGGAAAACCAGGGGUAAAAAAACAUCUGAAUCAAACCUCAUCACAUCUUGUUUCAUGUGAUUUUCAUACGAAAUUCUUAUGCUUUUUAUUCUUUUGUUUUGCAUGUCGUGUCCUCUCCUAUUCAUGUAUUCCAAAAGGGACCUAAACAAUCGUAUAAUUUCACUUUUGUUAAGGUAAAUUUUUUUAUCGAACCUAGAUAGCGGUGUUCAGUGUUCCCUUCCAUUCCCAUCCUCGUUGAAAAAUUCUGAAACAAUUUGAAAGACGCAUUUUAAGAGCGGCAGCACGGUGCUGUAGCGUCGUGCUGGUAAAACGUGGUCGUCAGACACACACACACACAAAAAAGAAAAAGAAAAAAAAAGUCCGCGCACGUACGGCGAUCUCAUCUUUUCCGUGAACCACCGUCCCACGAUGAGCGCACGUACGCAGGCUGCUGCGAAUCUGCCGAGUUUUUUGUGUCAGGCCCAGGGCGAAUCUGCGCAUUUUAUUACAUCACCAGGCCUUGUUUAGUUCUGAAAAGUGAAAAUUUUUCAGUACUGUAGCACUUUCGUUUGUUUGUGAUAAAUAU